Molecule: ribosomal RNA, 253 nt
Filed under: uncultured bacterium
Lineage: Bacteria
Description: partial 16S ribosomal RNA
Rfam family: Bacterial small subunit ribosomal RNA
Source: RNAcentral
UACGUAGGGGGCAAGCGUUGUCCGGAAUCAUUGGGCGUAAAGCGCGUGUAGGCGGCUCGAUAAGUCUGCUGUGAAAGUCCAAGGCUCAACCUUGGGAUGCCGGUGGAUACUGUCGAGCUCGAGUCCGGAAGAGGAGUGUGGAAUUCCUGGUGUAGCGGUGAAAUGCGCAGAUAUCAGGAGGAACACCGAUUGCGAAGGCAGCUCGCUGGGACGUAACUGACGCUGAGACGCGAAAGCGUGGGGAGCAAACAGG